This 471-nucleotide ribosomal RNA is filed under the name Glaphyromorphus nigricaudis (black-tailed bar-lippped skink). Its description in RNAcentral is "partial 16S ribosomal RNA". It matches the Rfam family "Bacterial large subunit ribosomal RNA", at positions 1849 to 2565 of the family's 2925-position model. The record is from RNAcentral. Lineage: Eukaryota; Metazoa; Chordata; Lepidosauria; Squamata; Scincidae.
AAGGUCCUGCCUGCCCAGUGAAAUAUUUUUAACGGCCGCGGUAUUCUAACCGUGCAAAGGUAGCGUAAUCACUUGUCUUCUAAAUAAAGACCAGUAUGAACGGCUAAAUGAGGAUAAACCUGUCUCCUACAGCCUAUCAGUGAAACUGAUCUUUCAGUCCAAAAGCUGAAAUAUUAACAUAAGACGAGAAGACCCUGUGGAGCUUAAAACUAAUAUGCUAACAAGGAGGACCCCCCCCCUAGCAUAAAUUUUAAGUUGGGGCGACUUCGGAACAAAACAAAACUUCCAAGCACAGAACCACCACUUCUAACCAAGGCAAACAGGCCUAAGCAAACACUGACCCAGUUCACACUGACCAACGAACCAAGUUACCCCAGGGAUAACAGCGCUAUCUUCUUCAAGAGUCCAUAUCGACAAGAAGGUUUACGACCUCGAUGUUGGAUCAGGGCACCCAAAUGGUGCAGCCGCUAU